RNAcentral lists this long non-coding RNA (435 nucleotides) under Olea europaea subsp. europaea. The record is from RNAcentral. Lineage: Eukaryota; Viridiplantae; Streptophyta; Magnoliopsida; Lamiales; Oleaceae.
GCUGGUUCUAUGACUUUGUCUCCCUCUCUUCAAUUAUCUAAUAUAUUGCUUGUGCCAUCACUUCCCCAUAAAUUGUUAUCUACUAGUCAAGCUACUAAAGAAUUAAAUUGUGCAGUGCUAAUUUACCCUACUUUUUGCCUUCUUCAGGAUAUUCUCACGAAGGAGAUAAUUGGACGUGGUACUAGGAGAAUAAGAUUAUACCAUUUGGAAGAUUUUAGCAUAGGAAGUACACAUCUUGUUCAGGGUGAUGCUGGAGAACGACAGAUUUGGCUCUGGCAUCGUCGCUUGGGACAUCCAUCAUUUGGUUAUUUGAAACAUUUAUUGCUUGAUUUGUGUUCGAAUAUGGAUACUUCUAGUUUAAAAUGCGAUACUUACAUUGUUGCCAAAAGUCAUCGCAACUCAUAUCCUUUGAGCAUGAAUAAAAGUAGUAUUUCC